UUAAGCGACUAAGCGUACACGGUGGAUGCCCUGGCAGUCAGAGGCGAUGAAGGACGUGCUAAUCUGCGAUAAGCGUCGGUAAGGUGAUAUGAACCGUUAUAACCGGCGAUUUCCGAAUGGGGAAACCCAGUGUGUUUCGACACACUAUCAUUAACUGAAUCCAUAGGUUAAUGAGGCGAACCGGGGGAACUGAAACAUCUAAGUACCCCGAGGAAAAGAAAUCAACCGAGAUUCCCCCAGUAGCGGCGAGCGAACGGGGAGCAGCCCAGAGCCUGAAUCAGUGUGUGUGUUAGUGGAAGCGUCUGGAAAGGCGCGCGAUACAGGGUGACAGCCCCGUACACAAAAAUGCACAUGCUGUGAGCUCGAUGAGUAGGGCGGGACACGUGGUAUCCUGUCUGAAUAUGGGGGGACCAUCCUCCAAGGCUAAAUACUCCUGACUGACCGAUAGUGAACCAGUACCGUGAGGGAAAGGCGAAAAGAACCCCGGCGAGGGGAGUGAAAAAGAACCUGAAACCGUGUACGUACAAGCAGUGGGAGCACGCUUAGGCGUGUGACUGCGUACCUUUUGUAUAAUGGGUCAGCGACUUAUAUUCUGUAGCAAGGUUAACCGAAUAGGGGAGCCGAAGGGAAACCGAGUCUUAACUGGGCGUUAAGUUGCAGGGUAUAGACCCGAAACCCGGUGAUCUAGCCAUGGGCAGGUUGAAGGUUGGGUAACACUAACUGGAGGACCGAACCGACUAAUGUUGAAAAAUUAGCGGAUGACUUGUGGCUGGGGGUGAAAGGCCAAUCAAACCGGGAGAUAGCUGGUUCUCCCCGAAAGCUAUUUAGGUAGCGCCUCGUGAAUUCAUCUCCGGGGGUAGAGCACUGUUUCGGCAAGGGGGUCAUCCCGACUUACCAACCCGAUGCAAACUGCGAAUACCGGAGAAUGUUAUCACGGGAGACACACGGCGGGUGCUAACGUCCGUCGUGAAGAGGGAAACAACCCAGACCGCCAGCUAAGGUCCCAAAGUCAUGGUUAAGUGGGAAACGAUGUGGGAAGGCCCAGACAGCCAGGAUGUUGGCUUAGAAGCAGCCAUCAUUUAAAGAAAGCGUAAUAGCUCACUGGUCGAGUCGGCCUGCGCGGAAGAUGUAACGGGGCUAAACCAUGCACCGAAGCUGCGGCAGCGACACUAUGUGUUGUUGGGUAGGGGAGCGUUCUGUAAGCCUGUGAAGGUGUGCUGUGAGGCAUGCUGGAGGUAUCAGAAGUGCGAAUGCUGACAUAAGUAACGAUAAAGCGGGUGAAAAGCCCGCUCGCCGGAAGACCAAGGGUUCCUGUCCAACGUUAAUCGGGGCAGGGUGAGUCGACCCCUAAGGCGAGGCCGAAAGGCGUAGUCGAUGGGAAACAGGUUAAUAUUCCUGUACUUGGUGUUACUGCGAAGGGGGGACGGAGAAGGCUAUGUUGGCCGGGCGACGGUUGUCCCGGUUUAAGCGUGUAGGCUGGUUUUCCAGGCAAAUCCGGAAAAUCAAGGCUGAGGCGUGAUGACGAGGCACUACGGUGCUGAAGCAACAAAUGCCCUGCUUCCAGGAAAAGCCUCUAAGCAUCAGGUAACAUCAAAUCGUACCCCAAACCGACACAGGUGGUCAGGUAGAGAAUACCAAGGCGCUUGAGAGAACUCGGGUGAAGGAACUAGGCAAAAUGGUGCCGUAACUUCGGGAGAAGGCACGCUGAUAUGUAGGUGAAGUCCCUCGCGGAUGGAGCUGAAAUCAGUCGAAGAUACCAGCUGGCUGCAACUGUUUAUUAAAAACACAGCACUGUGCAAACACGAAAGUGGACGUAUACGGUGUGACGCCUGCCCGGUGCCGGAAGGUUAAUUGAUGGGGUUAGCCGCAAGGCGAAGCUCUUGAUCGAAGCCCCGGUAAACGGCGGCCGUAACUAUAACGGUCCUAAGGUAGCGAAAUUCCUUGUCGGGUAAGUUCCGACCUGCACGAAUGGCGUAAUGAUGGCCAGGCUGUCUCCACCCGAGACUCAGUGAAAUUGAACUCGCUGUGAAGAUGCAGUGUACCCGCGGCAAGACGGAAAGACCCCGUGAACCUUUACUAUAGCUUGACACUGAACAUUGAGCCUUGAUGUGUAGGAUAGGUGGGAGGCUUUGAAGUGUGGACGCCAGUCUGCAUGGAGCCGACCUUGAAAUACCACCCUUUAAUGUUUGAUGUUCUAACGUUGACCCGUAAUCCGGGUUGCGGACAGUGUCUGGUGGGUAGUUUGACUGGGGCGGUCUCCUCCUAAAGAGUAACGGAGGAGCACGAAGGUUGGCUAAUCCUGGUCGGACAUCAGGAGGUUAGUGCAAUGGCAUAAGCCAGCUUGACUGCGAGCGUGACGGCGCGAGCAGGUGCGAAAGCAGGUCAUAGUGAUCCGGUGGUUCUGAAUGGAAGGGCCAUCGCUCAACGGAUAAAAGGUACUCCGGGGAUAACAGGCUGAUACCGCCCAAGAGUUCAUAUCGACGGCGGUGUUUGGCACCUCGAUGUCGGCUCAUCACAUCCUGGGGCUGAAGUAGGUCCCAAGGGUAUGGCUGUUCGCCAUUUAAAGUGGUACGCGAGCUGGGUUUAGAACGUCGUGAGACAGUUCGGUCCCUAUCUGCCGUGGGCGCUGGAGAACUGAGGGGGGCUGCUCCUAGUACGAGAGGACCGGAGUGGACGCAUCACUGGUGUUCGGGUUGUCAUGCCAAUGGCACUGCCCGGUAGCUAAAUGCGGAAGAGAUAAGUGCUGAAAGCAUCUAAGCACGAAACUUGCCCCGAGAUGAGUUCUCCCUGACUCCUUGAGAGUCCUGAAGGAACGUUGAAGACGACGACGUUGAUAGGCCGGGUGUGUAAGCGCAGCGAUGCGUUGAGCUAACCGGUACUAAUGAACCGUGAGGCUUAACCUU
RNAcentral lists this ribosomal RNA (2903 nucleotides) under Escherichia coli. Its description in RNAcentral is "bacterial LSU rRNA". It matches the Rfam family "Bacterial large subunit ribosomal RNA". The record is from RNAcentral. RNAcentral also lists the same sequence under 2 other names. Lineage: Bacteria; Pseudomonadati; Pseudomonadota; Gammaproteobacteria; Enterobacterales; Enterobacteriaceae.